RNAcentral lists this ribosomal RNA (497 nucleotides) under uncultured bacterium. RNAcentral describes it as "partial 16S ribosomal RNA". It matches the Rfam family "Bacterial small subunit ribosomal RNA", at positions 28 to 507 of the family's 1533-position model. The record is from RNAcentral.
GAUGAACGCUGGCGGCGUGCCUAAUACAUGCAAGUCGAGCGAACAGACGAGGAGCUUGCUCCUCUGACGUUAGCGGCGGACGGGUGAGUAACACGUGGAUAACCUACCUAUAAGACUGGGAUAACUUCGGGAAACCGGAGCUAAUACCGGAUAAUAUAUUGAACCGCAUGGUUCAAUAGUGAAAGACGGUUUUGCUGUCACUUAUAGAUGGAUCCGCGCCGCAUUAGCUAGUUGGUAAGGUAACGGCUUACCAAGGCAACGAUGCGUAGCCGACCUGAGAGGGUGAACGGCAACACUGGAACUGAGACACGGUCCAGACUCCUACGGGAGGCAGCAGAAGCGAAUCUUCCGCAAUGGGCGGAAGCCUGACGGAGCAACGCCGCGUGAGUGAUGAAGGUCUUCGGAUCGUAAAACUCUGUUAUUAGGGAAGAACAAAUGUGUAAGUAACUAUGCACGUCUUGACGGUACCUAAUCAGAAAGCCACGGCUAACUACGUG